This 288-nucleotide unclassified non-coding RNA is filed under the name fungal sp. Its description in RNAcentral is "partial internal transcribed spacer region". The stretch from base 1 to 46 matches the Rfam family "Eukaryotic small subunit ribosomal RNA", at positions 1786 to 1831 of the family's 1831-position model. The record is from RNAcentral. Lineage: Eukaryota; Fungi.
AAGUCGUAACAAGGUUUCCGUAGGUGAACCUGCGGAAGGAUCAUUCAUGUAUCUUCUGCUUGUUGCGCCGAGUUGUGGAUUGGGGAUUAACAUUUCCAGUUUGCAGCUUGGUUCAGCAAACAAACUACACUUUGUGAACGAAACAAGCUAGAUAGCAGUUGCUCGGCCUUGGCUGGGCAGCCGCCGUCGUUUCAAAAAACCAUUUUAACAAACCAUGUAGUAAUCUUAUUGACAUGUUAUAUAUAAUCUAAUUAUAUACAACCUUUAACAAUGGAUCUCUUGGUUCCU